GCCAGACUCCUACGGGAGGCAGCAGUGGGGGAUAUUGCACAAUGGGGGAAACCCUGAUGCAGCGACGCCGCGUGAGUGAAGAAGUAUUUCGGUAUGUAAAGCUCUCUCAGCAGGGAAGAAAAAAGACGGUACCUGACUAAGAAGCCCCGGCUAACUACGUGCCAGCAGCCGCGGUAAUACGUAGGGGGCAAGCGUUAUCCGGAUUUACUGGGUGUAAAGGGAGCGUAGACGGCAAUACAAGUCGGAAGUGAAAUACCCGGGCUUAACCUGGGAACUGCUUUGGAAACUGUAUGGCUGGAGUGCUGGAGAGGUAAGCGGAAUUCCUAGCGUAGCGGUGAAAUGCGUAGAUAUUAGGAGGAACACCAGUGGCGAAGGCGGCUUACUGGACAGUAACUGACGUUGAGGCUCGAAAGCGUGGGGAGCAAACAGGAUUAGAUACCCGCGUAU
RNAcentral lists this ribosomal RNA (447 nucleotides) under uncultured bacterium. RNAcentral's name for it is "bacterial SSU rRNA". It matches the Rfam family "Bacterial small subunit ribosomal RNA", at positions 330 to 793 of the family's 1533-position model. The record is from RNAcentral.